GAUGAACGCUGGCGGCGUGCCUAAUACAUGCAAGUCGAGCGAACAGACGAGGAGCUUGCUCCUCUGACGUUAGCGGCGGACGGGUGAGUAACACGUGGAUAACCUACCUAUAAGACUGGGAUAACUUCGGGAAACCGGAGCUAAUACCGGAUAAUAUAUUGAACCGCAUGGUUCAAUAGUGAAAGACGGUUUUGCUGUCACUUAUAGAUGGAUCCGCGCCGCAUUAGCUCGUUGGUAAGGUAACGGCUUACCAAGGCAACGAUGCGUAGCCGACCUGAGAGGGUGAUCGGCCAGACUGGAACUGAGAAACGGUCCAGACGCCUACGGGAGGCAGCAGUAGGGAAUCUUCCGCAAUGGGCGAAAGCCUGACGGAGCAACGCCGCGUGAGUGAUGAAGGUCUGCGGAUCGUAAAACUCUGUUAUUAGGGAAGAACAAAUGUGUAAGUAACUAUGCACGUCUUGACGGUACCUAAUCAGAAAGCCACGGCUAACUACGUG
This 497-nucleotide ribosomal RNA is filed under the name uncultured bacterium. RNAcentral describes it as "partial 16S ribosomal RNA". It matches the Rfam family "Bacterial small subunit ribosomal RNA", at positions 28 to 507 of the family's 1533-position model. The record is from RNAcentral.